This is a long non-coding RNA of Vespa velutina, 1424 nucleotides long. RefSeq lists it as uncharacterized. NCBI's taxonomy places the organism in Eukaryota, Metazoa, Arthropoda, Insecta, Hymenoptera, Vespidae. The record is from RefSeq and is a predicted model, not a curated record. The transcript has 3 exons.
UCGAUAGAGGAGACGACUCGUUCGCUUUUAUUCAGUCUGAACGAGGUAGCGACACCAUCUACCGUCCAAUGGAUUAGAUGUAUUACUACUGAAUCAAGAAGAAAAAUCAUUUCCUUCGUGAUCUUCAGAUAAGUCACACGUGAGGGUCUAAUAAGUUGAACGAAUUGAAGGAGUCAAGGAAACAAUAGCUCUCUCUCUCUCUCUCUCUCUCUCUCUUUCUCUCUCUAAGUACUUUUCUAGUGGUUUUGAGAGUCGACACUUUUUGUUGAAACGUCGCGUUCCAGAAAAGGACCAGAUAAAGGACAAAAAGGAAAGACUUUGUUGGCCAAUUAACAGGCUUCCGCUGCAGUACGAUAAAGUUCUUUCUUUAAACGAAGAGACGGAAAGAAAAAGAGAAUAAAAAUUUGGUGCGAAAGUAGUACCUACCAUUUCGGUGGUUUUACAUUGUGAUCUCAGUAUGUGCACAUACACAUCGCAGGUACAAACGGCGUACAUGCAGCGUGUACGAGGUUGAGAGCGCUCCACGCCUCUAAAUUAAAGGCGCACGUCUGCGAAUCCUCCAGUCGGCCGUCGGAUUUCCGUGGUAGAACCGCUUCGAGGUCGGCACUCCUGUGCUUUCCUCACUUCGAGAAGCUUUUCCAAACCAACCACUUGCUUUCCUCGUCUCUACGUUUUCCACCUCCUUCUCUCUCUCCCACCCUCUCUCCUUCUCUCUCUCUCUCUCUCUCUCCCUCUCCCUCCCUCCCUCCCUCUCUCUCUCUCUCUCUCUCUCUCUCUCUCUCUCUCUCUCUCUCUCUCUCUCUCUCUCUCUCUCUCUUGUGCGAAAAGUGUCUACAAAGUGUGUCGAGUUCGAUAUCCCUCGUGUCAUCACGUCGAAACUCUUCGUCGUUUAAAGCAAAAGAAUUUCUGUGAAUUUCCUCGAUAUAAUUUCUAUUCUAUCCUUUAGUACGUUCACUUUAAAGUGCGUGUUAUUGUUUUAUCAAGUCUUUUUUCUCCAACGAGAAUUAUCAUCUUUCAAUAGAAACAAUUCGACCCGACGGAUAAAACGUGUAGCUUUUCUUGAAUUUCAGAAGUUUGCAACAUUUUCGAGAUGGCAAAGCGUUAAGCUUGACGUAGCAAAAAUAAUCUCGUUAGAAAUUUCUUGGAAAGUGAGCAAGUGAACGUAUCAAUGAUCUUACUUUGUUGACGCGUGAUUCAUCUUUAGAAAAUAAAUUUCUAUAACGCGAAUGAUAAAUUGAGAGACGCGCCAGACAGUGCUGUGAAAGUUUACACGUGAAUUUUUGCUAAGAGAAAGUCGCAUACGACGCCCUUCCGGCACCUUUUCCGAAAGGGUAAUAUUUUACGUGGACGAUUUAACGACGGAGAACUGUCAAAGCUCAACACCAGAGCUCUAUCAUCGUCCGGAAAGCUCAUACAGUCCUUAU